CCUACGGGAGGCAGCAGUGAGGAAUAUUGGUCAAUGGGCGGACGCCUGAACCAGCCAAGUCGCGUGAGGGAAGACUGCCCUAUGGGUUGUAAACCUCUAUUGUCAGGGAGCAACGCCGGCUACGUGUAGCCGGACGGAGAGGACCUGAAGAAAAAGCAGCGGCUAACUCCGUGCCAGCAGCCGCGGUAAUACGGAGGAUGCGAGCGUUAUCCGGAUUGAUGGGGUUUAAAGGGUGCGUAGGCGGAAUGCCAAGUCAGCGGUCAAAGCGCGGGGCUCAACCUCGCUCCGCCGUUGAAACUGGCGUUCUUGAGUGGGCGAGAGGUAUGCGGCAUGCGUGGUGUAGCGGUGAAAUGCCUAGAUAUCACGCAGAACUCCGAUUGCGAAGGCAGCAUACCGGCGCCCAACUGACGCUGACGCACGAAAGCGUGGGUAUCGAACAGGAUUAGAUACCCCUGUAGUC
Molecule: ribosomal RNA, 460 nt
Filed under: uncultured bacterium
Lineage: Bacteria
Description: partial 16S ribosomal RNA
Rfam family: Bacterial small subunit ribosomal RNA
Source: RNAcentral